GAUACACCAAUUCAGAUUUUAUGUUUGUCAUUGAUGGUAGAAUGUCUACAUCAUGGGGUGUGUUUCUAUGUCGAUAUUUUGGAAGGGUUCCAAAUAAUCGAUCGAUAGAAGCUGAGUACACUAUAGAUAUGUAGGAUGCAUUCUGAUUCUAAUAUUAGUUGCAGAGCUAGAUGUCAUGCCAUCAAAUGUCAUGACACUAUACUACAAAGAUAAUGGCACCAUAGCCUUUGCUAAGGAGCCUAAGUCUCACUAGAUAUCUAAGCACAUAGAGCAGC
This 275-nucleotide long non-coding RNA is filed under the name Elaeis guineensis (African oil palm). RNAcentral describes it as "long non-coding RNA (EGUI_LNC037755)". Lineage: Eukaryota; Viridiplantae; Streptophyta; Magnoliopsida; Arecales; Arecaceae. The record is from RNAcentral.